Long non-coding RNA from Talpa occidentalis (Iberian mole), 638 nucleotides. RefSeq lists it as uncharacterized. NCBI's taxonomy places the organism in Eukaryota, Metazoa, Chordata, Mammalia, Eulipotyphla, Talpidae. The record is from RefSeq and is a predicted model, not a curated record. The transcript has 3 exons.
UGAGUACACAGAAGUGGCCCUGGACCUGUGCCCUCGCUGCUGCUCAUCAUCUGGACCAACCAGAGAGGGUGGAAAGAAACACAGACAGCCACAGGUGACGAACAGAGCCCAACACAUGCAGCUGGUUCUGGGACCUACAUCUCAGUUCCCUGAAAGUGCUACAGCUGUGUCUGGGCACCGUGUUCAGUCCUGAAUUCUCACACCUCAUGCCAUUGAGCACCAAUGACUAUGAUGCCUCCGUUAUUUCAUGGUUCUAAAUCUUAGUGAGCCCAAGAGUGAAAGCUUCAUGCUCCAGCAUCUCUACUGGAUGACAAAGUAUGGCUGUCGACAUGCAUGAAACUACUACAUAGCCUCAGGCUGCGGAUGGCAUCCACAGACAAUGCCCUUCUUAGAAGACCCAUGUCACCACAACUCCUGAAACCCUAAGUUCAGAAAAGGAGGAAAAAACACCAAGAUGGACGUUCACUGUCACUGAUACUAAACCAGAUACACUGAAGUGUCUCCUCAGCGCUGCCCAUGCUCGCUCCUGCGCAAGUGCCCUAGCAGACAGAGGGCUUAGCAGCCACAUCAACCCCCCGUCUAACCCCCAGGAACUGAGCUAUAAAAAUAGGACACUAAAUGAUAAACCAGAAGAACUG